Molecule: ribosomal RNA, 1529 nt
Filed under: Bacteroides thetaiotaomicron
Lineage: Bacteria; Pseudomonadati; Bacteroidota; Bacteroidia; Bacteroidales; Bacteroidaceae
Description: bacterial SSU rRNA
Rfam family: Bacterial small subunit ribosomal RNA
Source: RNAcentral
ACAAUGAAGAGUUUGAUCCUGGCUCAGGAUGAACGCUAGCUACAGGCUUAACACAUGCAAGUCGAGGGGCAGCAUUUCAGUUUGCUUGCAAACUGGAGAUGGCGACCGGCGCACGGGUGAGUAACACGUAUCCAACCUGCCGAUAACUCGGGGAUAGCCUUUCGAAAGAAAGAUUAAUACCCGAUGGUAUAAUCAGACCGCAUGGUCUUGUUAUUAAAGAAUUUCGGUUAUCGAUGGGGAUGCGUUCCAUUAGGCAGUUGGUGAGGUAACGGCUCACCAAACCUUCGAUGGAUAGGGGUUCUGAGAGGAAGGUCCCCCACAUUGGAACUGAGACACGGUCCAAACUCCUACGGGAGGCAGCAGUGAGGAAUAUUGGUCAAUGGGCGCAGGCCUGAACCAGCCAAGUAGCGUGAAGGAUGACUGCCCUAUGGGUUGUAAACUUCUUUUAUAUGGGAAUAAAGUUUUCCACGUGUGGAAUUUUGUAUGUACCAUAUGAAUAAGGAUCGGCUAACUCCGUGCCAGCAGCCGCGGUAAUACGGAGGAUCCGAGCGUUAUCCGGAUUUAUUGGGUUUAAAGGGAGCGUAGGUGGACAGUUAAGUCAGUUGUGAAAGUUUGCGGCUCAACCGUAAAAUUGCAGUUGAUACUGGCUGUCUUGAGUACAGUAGAGGUGGGCGGAAUUCGUGGUGUAGCGGUGAAAUGCUUAGAUAUCACGAAGAACUCCGAUUGCGAAGGCAGCUCACUGGACUGCAACUGACACUGAUGCUCGAAAGUGUGGGUAUCAAACAGGAUUAGAUACCCUGGUAGUCCACACAGUAAACGAUGAAUACUCGCUGUUUGCGAUAUACAGUAAGCGGCCAAGCGAAAGCAUUAAGUAUUCCACCUGGGGAGUACGCCGGCAACGGUGAAACUCAAAGGAAUUGACGGGGGCCCGCACAAGCGGAGGAACAUGUGGUUUAAUUCGAUGAUACGCGAGGAACCUUACCCGGGCUUAAAUUGCAUUUGAAUAAUCUGGAAACAGGUUAGCCGCAAGGCAAAUGUGAAGGUGCUGCAUGGUUGUCGUCAGCUCGUGCCGUGAGGUGUCGGCUUAAGUGCCAUAACGAGCGCAACCCUUAUCUUUAGUUACUAACAGGUCAUGCUGAGGACUCUAGAGAGACUGCCGUCGUAAGAUGUGAGGAAGGUGGGGAUGACGUCAAAUCAGCACGGCCCUUACGUCCGGGGCUACACACGUGUUACAAUGGGGGGUACAGAAGGCAGCUACCUGGUGACAGGAUGCUAAUCCCAAAAGCCUCUCUCAGUUCGGAUCGAAGUCUGCAACCCGACUUCGUGAAGCUGGAUUCGCUAGUAAUCGCGCAUCAGCCAUGGCGCGGUGAAUACGUUCCCGGGCCUUGUACACACCGCCCGUCAAGCCAUGAAAGCCGGGGGUACCUGAAGUACGUAACCGCAAGGAGCGUCCUAGGGUAAAACUGGUAAUUGGGGCUAAGUCGUAACAAGGUAGCCGUACCGGAAGGUGCGGCUGGAACACCUCCUUU